ACUGAACGCUGGCGGCAUGCCUUACACAUGCAAGUCGAACGGCAGCACGGGAGCAAUCCUGGUGGCGAGUGGCGAACGGGUGAGUAAUACAUCGGAACGUGCCCAAUCGUGGGGGAUAACGCAGCGAAAGCUGUGCUAAUACCGCAUAAGAUCUACGGAUGAAAGCAGGGGACCGCAAGGCCUUGCGCGAAUGGAGCGGC
RNAcentral lists this ribosomal RNA (200 nucleotides) under uncultured bacterium. RNAcentral's name for it is "partial 16S ribosomal RNA". It matches the Rfam family "Bacterial small subunit ribosomal RNA", at positions 30 to 230 of the family's 1533-position model. The record is from RNAcentral.